UGAGUGGCGAACGGGUGAGUAACACGUGAGUAACCUGCCCCUUCUUUGGGAUAACGCCCGGAAACGGGUGCUAAUACUGGAUAUUCACUGGCCUUCGCAUGGGGGUUUGUGGAAAGGUUUUUUCUGGUGGGGGAUGGGCUCGCGGCCUAUCAGCUUGCUGGUGGGGUGAUGGCCUACCAAGGCUUUGACGGGUAGCCGGCCUGAGAGGGUGACCGGUCACAUUGGGACUGAGAUACGGCCCAG
This 243-nucleotide ribosomal RNA is filed under the name uncultured bacterium. RNAcentral describes it as "partial 16S ribosomal RNA". It matches the Rfam family "Bacterial small subunit ribosomal RNA", at positions 92 to 334 of the family's 1533-position model. The record is from RNAcentral.